This 177-nucleotide ribosomal RNA is filed under the name Triticum aestivum (bread wheat). RNAcentral describes it as "partial small subunit ribosomal RNA". Lineage: Eukaryota; Viridiplantae; Streptophyta; Magnoliopsida; Poales; Poaceae. The record is from RNAcentral.
AUGAAGAAGAAAGGUAGAGGAAAAAGCUUCAACAUGCGUGAGGACGAGCUGUUGUGCGAUGCAUGGUUGGCCACUAGCGUUGAUCCUAUCCACGGCAUGGAGCAAAAGGGCACAACCUUUUGGAGGAACAUUCACAUAUGGUUCCAUGAGCACAAACAUUUCGCCCCGACGCGUUGA